GCCAGUAGUCAUAUGCUUGUCUCAAAGAUUAAGCCAUGCAUGUCUAAGUACGCACGGCCGGUACAGUGAAACUGCGAAUGGCUCAUUAAAUCAGUUAUCGUUUAUUUGAUAGUACCUUACUACUUGGAUAACCGUGGUAAUUCUAGAGCUAAUACAUGCUAAAAACCCCAACUUCGGAAGGGGUGUAUUUAUUAGAUAAAAAACCAAC
This 208-nucleotide ribozyme is filed under the name Heterosigma akashiwo. RNAcentral describes it as "partial Bacterial RNase P class B". It matches the Rfam family "Eukaryotic small subunit ribosomal RNA", at positions 16 to 226 of the family's 1831-position model. Lineage: Eukaryota; Raphidophyceae; Chattonellales; Chattonellaceae. The record is from RNAcentral.